RNAcentral lists this ribosomal RNA (305 nucleotides) under uncultured bacterium. RNAcentral's name for it is "bacterial SSU rRNA". It matches the Rfam family "Bacterial small subunit ribosomal RNA", at positions 335 to 638 of the family's 1533-position model. The record is from RNAcentral.
UGCCUACGGGGCGCAGCAGUGAGGAAUAUUGGUCAAUGGCCGCAGGGCUGAACCAGCCAAGUCGCGUGAGGGAUGACGGUCCUAUGGAUUGUAAACUUCUUUUGUCAGGGAGCAAUUGAGUCCACGUGUGGUCUUAGCGAGAGUACCUGAAGAAAAAGCAUCGGCUAACUCCGUGCCAGCAGCCGCGGUAAUACGGAGGAUGCGAGCGUUAUCCGGAUUUAUUGGGUUUAAAGGGUGCGCAGGCGGCCUGUUAAGUCAGCGGUAAAAGCCCGGGGCUCAACCCCGGCGAGCCGUUGAAACUGGCG